Molecule: long non-coding RNA, 12865 nt
Filed under: Equus caballus (horse)
Lineage: Eukaryota; Metazoa; Chordata; Mammalia; Perissodactyla; Equidae
Description: lncRNA (ENSECAG00000046546.1)
Source: RNAcentral
GUGGGGCCAGAGCUGUAUCUCAGGCCAACCAGAAUAACAGGCCUGCUGUGUCUGAAUAUGGAGGGUUAAGUUUCUCAAUGCAGCCUUUCUCCUCUUUCAGCUUCACCAACAGACUGCUUCGUGAAGAGAUGUGUUUUAAAAUAAUUUAAUAUUGCAUACAGCCCCACUUAUUUCUGCCUCUCAAGAUCUCAUGCCGAACUGGGCACAGAGAGAUUCUCUUUCUUAGCCAGCCUUUGUACUUGUUUCUCAUGUUCCGAAGAGAAAUUAUUGGCUUUUCCCUCAGGGCUGCCACUCAGGAGCAAGGUGCUCUGUGAGCUUCGUCUGAGAGCUAAAGGAUGGAGUUGUUCUUCUGAUUCUUGGUCUUGUUAUUUAAUGAUAAUUACUACUGAGGAAAUGGAGAAAAUUCUUCAAUCUCAGCUUUUAAAGGACUAAAUGGGCACCAGUCGCUCUCACGACCCAAGCCCUCCUGUAGACUUUGCUUUUCUACAGAAUAACCCUUCACUGAAUUCUUCAAGAAGAUUCCAGCAAGUUCUGAAGACUUCAGACUGCUGCCUGAAAUCUAUGUUUACUUUUUGCAUCCUCUCAUGAUUUGGCCCAAAUUCCCCUUAUUUGAUAUGUAUCAUCAUAGUUUAUGGUAUGAGGUAGUAGCUAUUUCCUACUUUUAUUAAAGAUGCAGUUCUCUUUAAUUCUGUUUUUAUUAUUUUUUUCUUUGCUUUUAGUUGGUUUCUGAGAGGGGCCAGGAUUAAAUAACUCUUACUCUAUCAUCUUUAGCUGAAACUAUGUAAAGCAAUCUAAUUUACAGCAGAUUUUAUCUCAUGUAACACUGGUAGAGUAGAUAAAGACGAUGGUGGAUAUGAAGAAUGACUGCCACCGGUGUAUAAAGACAGAAUCCUCUAUAUUGAAGGCAGUAAGUUCUCUGUGAAUGGAGCUGUUGAAACAGAGAGUAAAGAACUUGCUGGGAUCCUUGCAGAGUGGAUUUCAGCUUAGCAGCUUUUAAAAGUUAGGUUACUUAGAAGGUCUCACUUCAGCACUUUAAUUCUGUUAUUUCACAAUUUCUUUUUUGCAAAGCAAUUAGUCACAGGGAUUUUUAAGAUUCCCAAAUGGGUAAUUCGAAGCAGUCUGAUAAGAUGUAUUUUCUCUUUAGUAAUUUUCAGCAGAAAAAAGACUACAUAUCUCUUUUCUAUAAACUGCUUAAUAAUAAAAAAAUAAAACGAUCAAUGAAAAAUAAAGGAACUGGUAUAUUUUUUAAAUUUUAAAAGCUACUUUGAGAUUUAAAGUGAUGUGUAAAUACUGUGCAGACGGCAAUUAUAUAUGUAUAAUAGCCUGUAUUACUUCAUUAGCCUUUUUUUUUUUUUGGAGGAAGAUUAGCCCUGGGCUAACUGCUGCCAAUCCUCCUCUUUUUGCUGAGGAAGACUGGCACUGAGCUAACACCCGUGCCCAUCUCCCUCUGCCUUAUAUGUAGGAUGCCAGCCACAGCAUGGCUUGUCAAGUGGUGCCAUGUCCGCACCCUGGAUCCAAACUGAACGUGUGCACUUAACCACUGUGCCACGGGGCCAGCCCCUUCAUUAGCCUUUUAACCAGCUUUCUUCUUGAACUUUUGAUUAGCAAAACUAAUUUAUGGUACAACAGUAAUUUGCUAUAGAUAUAUUUGAAGACCUUUCUUGGAGUAUUUAAGGACACCAGCUAAACGAAGGCAGAUAGUGAAAGGUUUGGCACCCUGAUCUCAGAGGGAAGGAAAUGGGACAGGACAUACUGUCUCCCAAGCUAUUUUAAGGACUUCUUUAGAAUAUUCUGUGAGUGUUACUCUGUACUUCAGAAUAGCGAGUUGCUGGAACAGCAACAUCAUCAUCAUGAAUUUGCACCUUUGGUGGAUAAUCAUAAGGCUUCAUUUUCCUGAAAGUGAUAAUUCACUUCAGCCUGCUGCACUGAGCGAGAUAACAUUAUUUUCUUGUUCAUGGAAAUAAAAUUCUACAGGUAAUUUACCGAUGUGCUAAUUACCAUUUCCAACGAUGAGCUCAGGAACACUGUGGUUUCUUAAAUUGUUCCUACUCUGAAAAAUGUAUUUAUAUUUGCAAAAAGCCUGAAGCAUAAAAUGAUAUUAGUCUUGUGGAUUGUUGCCAAACAUGGUAGGGAAGGUGCUUAUAAAUUCUUUUGUAAGUGAUCAGCUGUGCUUGAGCAGUAAGCGCCAUAGUGGCUGAUUUAUUUUCGUGUGUGAGUAACAAUGUCUUCAUUACAUCAGGGAGGAAAACAUUUCAGCACUGGUGGAGGCCGAGCAGAUAGGAAGAUACAUGUAUCUCUUUUGACAUAACAGAAAUGUUGAACUACCGAAGAUCUGCAAAGGAAAUGCUGCUCCCGGUGAUUCACAGUCUCAGGAGGUCUUUACUGCGAUGUCUGCUGCCCUCAGUGCUCUCACCUGCGUCGCUUGCUGCCUUCUGGGCAGGUCCUGCUUUUCACUCUCAGUCAUUUCUAAGGCAUUUCUGUUUACUUCCAUUUUUUUAAAGUUUGGCACCUGUUCCCAAUCUUCUUUCUUCUUUUUCUUCUUCUCCCCAAAGCCCCCCAGUACACAGUUGUAUAUUCUAGCUGUGAGUGCCUCUGGUUGUGCUGUGUGGGACACCUCCUCAGCAUGGCCUGACGAGUGGUGUGCAGGUCCACGCCCGGGAUCCUAACCAGUGAAACCCAGAGCCGCUGAAGUGGAGCGCUCGAACUUAACCUCUCAGCCACCAGCCCAGCCCUCUGUUUACUUUCUUGUCUCCUAAUCUGCACAUAAAUGAGUCCAAUUUGCUUCUUCAAAGUUUAUUUCACUCUUCCUCUGUGAAAUCUCCCAAUUUCCCAACUGGCUCUGGCAUCUCAUUUUGUGCCUCACUCAGGGCUCUUAUAAUUAUGGGCCUUAAUCAGGCUUCUGGUGGUUAGAUUUGAAGCAGUAAUUGGUGUGCUUUCUUAUGCCUGUGCUGAGCAGUGGGCUUCUUGACAGUGGGAGCGUCACUCUAUUCUUCGUACGUCUCCUCUCCUUACACCGGCUCUACAGCAUCUUAGCGCUGUGCCUGGCAGACGGUAAAUCUCAGUAAGUGUUUCUUGAUUGAACUGUUGGCUGAAACUUCUUUCUUACCAUCAUCAUCUCCUCCCUUGGACUUGUGGACAUUAUUCUCAUCACUUUAUUUCUAAUUUGCUGUCUGUUCCUUGAUGUGUACUUACUCAAUUUUUGUCUUCUUCAUAUGGAUUUCUACUGUAUCUCUUUUCUAUCUUCAUUUCUACCAAACCAAAGUCCCUUCACACAUUUAUUCCCUCAUCUUCACAAGCCUCCCUGGUUUUGCCGUUCUCGUCCUGAGUAUAGUGUCCAGAAGCGCUCAGCCUGGAGGGCUGCUUUGCUGGGCGUUUCUGUCCUGCCUGCCUGAGGAAUGCUGCCUCUCAGCUAGUUCCACUUUUUCUCUUUUCUUUUCCUACUUGCAAUUGCUGAGAGUUACUUGAGAAAAUGCAUAAUCUACUGACUACCCUUAGUUAGAUGUCAUUUAGAAGAUGCAAAUUUAAUAUCUGUCUCCAAAGCGUUCCUAUCCACUGUUUCCUAUUUCACAAUUAAUGGCAUCAAUAAUUGUUUAUGCCAGAAAACAAUAUCUAAUGUAUAGUUUAUGACCUUAAUUAAAUACACAUACACACACACACAGAAAAGGCAUCAAUAAAUUAAUAAUUUAUAUUUGAGUCUUUGCAUUUUGGGAUAUUAUAUUUCUUAUAUACACUAUACCUUAUUUUUAUAUUUCACAAUAAAUAUGAAUGAGUUCCAUAAUCGCAAAAUUUUCAGAAAAGCUGCAGAAAAACCAGUAAGUUAGAACUAAAUUGGACAUGAUCUAGGUGUAAGGAAGCAAAGGCUUUAGUCUUGACUCUGUCCCUAUCAAUGCAUGUGACGUGAAAUGUCACCAGCUACUACUUGCUUCUGUUUUGGCAGCAUUCAUUCCCCAAGCACCUUUUGGUAUUCCUGUUGUGCUGGCACUAGAUUUUUGGUGCUUGAGCACGAGACCUUGUGUUUGAACUGAUGGUGCUGUGGUCCAGCGGGAGAGACAGGUAUCAUCAACGCCGUAAGGAAAGCAAGAGAAGGACGAAACCAAUGGCGCAGGGGCGGAGAGGGGACUGAGCAGGGGAGGGCCUGGUUAGCCAAAUUCUAGCAAUGUUUCCAGUUACAUGACUCCAAUACCAGCUGUCUCUUCAAUAGUAACAGUUCUUAAAAUACAGUUUUUUUUCAUUGGCUUAGUUAGAACAGGAACAUGCUAAAAAGAAGAAAAAAGAAUAGAGCAUUAAUUAUCUUAUGAUGAAUAUACUGGCCUUCUCAAUAAACCAUAAUACAUAUAUAAAUGUAGAAAGUAAGGUUACUAGUGGGUAUCUUUUCCUUCAAAUGAGCAUGUCUUUAAGCUUGAAGAGUGUUCUUUAACAAAAAAUGGUAUCAAUGUUGCCACUGUUUUGGAGGAUUAUAAAGGUUUUUACGGAAAUCAAAAGUAAGCGAUGGAGCAAAAAUGAUCAUUUCCAACACAAGUCAUAAAAAGCCACGUUAUUUAAAACAGAAUAAAAGGUCUCUAUCUUACAGAAAACAGGGAUCAGCUCUUUUAACAUUUCAAGUCAGAAAAAUGUUUUCAGUAAACUUAAAAGUGAAAGCAGCCAUUGUGGGUAUGUGGAAGACAAGUUUGUAGUUCUUAGAAAUCAUCCCCAACCUGUUCAAAUGUUGAGGCAUUUUUUUGAAGGCAAAAAUUUCACAGACCCAUACCUUAUAAUGGUGUUACAUUUAGAAUCUAUGUAUUGAGAAAAUAGCUAUCUGAAUAUGGAUUUACAGAAUUCUAGCAAUAAUUCUGUUGCUUAAAUACACUACAUACCUUCUAACCUUUGCGUAUUAAAUGUUUAUUUUUCUUUCACUAGCAAUCUUCUGCCUAAUCUUACAGUCAAAUUGUGCCAAUUCUUCCAGGCCGGGUUCAAGUUCUACAUGUCACAUGAAGCGGUCCAGGAACAUUGGCCUCCAGUGCCAUCUGCCUUCUCAGGGCUUCUUUAGAACUGUAGAGCCGGAAGGAAACUUAAAGACCACCACCACAUCCUAUAUGCUUUGCAAGGCAACUGUUUGCCUGUGUUACACCUUCUGAAAACUAGAAAACAGUGCUCCUUUUGGCAGAGGCAGCUAGAGCAUACGGCUUGGCAGGUGGAGCAGGAGCUGAAUUCCAGCCUCCAGCAGUGCCUUGGCUCAGCAUCGUUGUGCAGGGCACAGCCGGCAAGACACGUUUUGUCCUGAUCAUGUCCUGCCUCUUAAUAUUAUCUGACUUUUCCAUGCCAAAUAAUAUAAUGUAAAAGAUUAAUGUAAUUUCUGGAGGGGUAUGAAAACAAUUUCAAAAAAUUCUACAUACCUCUGUGAUAAUUAUAGAAUCCAUAGUAGGUUAUCAAUGAAUACGUAAUAUUCAUAUUAAAGCUCCUAAAAGCAAUGAGAUCAUGUUAUAACAGAAGGGUUAGACAAAAGUUUGAGCACAAAUUAAGUGGAAAUGAAAGAGGCUUAAAUUCAGGAGGCAAGUUAAACAGGUUAUUUAUUGACAAAGUGUUUAUCGAAGGAAAAGAAGACAGUUUGGAAGCGUCGUGGGGAAAUGAGGAACAAUGAGGUUUAGAGAGAAUAGCAUAGUCCAAAGAUAAGGUGAUUGUAGUAUUUCUUCCUUGUAGGAUAGGAGAAAGGAAUGCCUACUGAAACGGAAGGAAGAAACCAGAGUCCAGAAUGUCAAAUUCACAUGCUGGUGAGACUUAAUUUAAAACGGGAAGCAAAACUCUAGUUUGUAAUAGAACAACAACUGAGCACAUCUGUAUCAAUAUAUGUCAUUCGGAGAGGCUUACCUGACAUUUGUGGUGUGCAGAAGCAAUCUUCAGACUACACCAUUCUUUACUAAUUUAUUUGAAUAGAGUAGGUAAACAUCAGAUCUAUAAGAAAUGACUUCAUUUUGUAUUUAUCCUCUAUGAUUUAUGAUUUUUGUAAAUUUAUGAUUCAUAUUGUUAAAGCCGUAGUAUUUCAUUUGCCUAAUUGUUUAAACGCUCACUGCUAAAUGACCAUGCCUGGCAACUUCAUCUGUUUCUGAUAACUCAGGUUAUCAGAAGGCAAAUUUAGAAAACAUCUCUCACAGUUGACCCCCGCACAUCUGAAGCUUUUAAGAACAGUGUACAAUAUAGAAUGGAUUUGUCAGCACAAAUAGGAAAGAAUAUCUCAGAAACAAAUAGAGUUUUAGAUUUCCAAAUAGAUUAUGAAGUAGUGUCAUCAUUAAUUGCAAAUGUAAGAAAGAUCCAUAUAGUAACUGAAGAAUGAGUUCCUAUUAGCUGGUAACUUGGAUUGAGACACACGUUUAACAAAAUAUUAUAUAAAGUCUAUCAGCUGAAAAUUACCAAUAUUGUUGAAAGAAAUGAAAGACCUAAAUAAGAGGAGUGACAUACUGUGUCCACGGGUUGGAAGAUGCAACAUAGUAAAGAUGUCUGUUCUUGCCAAAUUUGUUCGUAUGUGUAAAGAAAUUUCAAUCAAAAUUUUCAUUGACAUAGACAAGCUUAUUCUGAAAUUUAUAUCAAAAGGCUCAGGUCAUGGAAUAGCUAAAACAAUCUUGACAAAGGAGAAGAAAACUCAAGGAAUCACUCUGCCCAAUAUUAAGGCUUACUCUGUAACUACAGUAAUCAAUAGAGUUGCUAUUGGUGAAGAGAUAGACACAUAGAUCAUUGGAACAGAAUGGAGAACACAAAAAUAGACACACAUAUAUUCAACCAAUUUUUUAAAAAUUUAUUUUAUUGAGGUCACAUUUUUAACAUUAUGAAUUUCAGGUUACAUCACAUAUUUCUACUUCUGUGUAGAUUGCAUCGUUUGUGUUCACCACCAAAAGUCUAAUUUUCAUCCACUACCAUACGCAUGUGCCCCUUCACCCCUUUCGCCUUUCCUCUACCCCCUUCCCCUCUGGUAACCACCAAUCUCUGUAUCUAUAUGUUUGUUCGUUUGUUUGUCUUCCACAUACAGAUGAAGUCAUACCGUAAUUUGUCUUCUCUGUCUGACUUAUUUCACUUAGCAUAAUAUCCUCAAGGUCCAUCCAUGUUAUUGCAAAUGGCACAAUUGCAUCUUUUUUUAUGGCUGAGUAGUAGUCCAAUGUAUAUAAAAAUCACAUCUUCUUUAUCCAUUCAUCUGCUGAUGGGCACUGAUUUUUCACAGAGGUGCAAAAGCAAUUCAAUGGGGGAAGGACAACAGGUUGAAGAAAUAGAGCUGGAGCAAUUGAAUAUUCAUAGGCAAAAAACCAAACUUCUACUUAAAUCUCACAUCUUAUACACAAAAACUCCUCAAAAUGGAUUCUAGACUUAAAUGUAAAAUUAUAAAAAUUUUAGGAAAACAUAGUGAUCAAAAUAUCCAGGCAGUGUUCUGAGACUUGACAAAAAAAAAAAAAAAAGCAUAAUCUAUAAAAGGAAAAACUGGUAAAUUAGACUUCAUCAAACUGAAAUAAAACAGUAAAAAAAUUUUGCCUCUUAGAAUGCUGAUUAUUCCUCUUUUUUAUUAGUAGGACCGCCUAGACCUAUCUGUGUGUGAAGUUACUAAAAAUGUUAUUUUUAUCAAUUAAAAGCUCAUCUUUAAGAUUUUUUUGGUAAGAUUUCAAAAUAGCUCAACAUGCAAAAGAUAAAAUAAUUUGCAACAGCUGUUAAUUGGAGGAAUUUUUUGCAAACUUUGUUAUCUGUAGACAGAUAAGAUUGUUAAUUUUCGCCAUUAACAGAUGCUUUGGCUAAUGAUUUCUACAGUCGUGUACGUAGUCAUUGUAUGAAAUGUGCUCAAACGUCUAUUUGAUUAUUUUAGUUUAUCUUAAUAAUCUGCUAGAAAUUGUGUAGCUAGUUUUCUGAAAAGUCUGCAACUAACCAUAUGAGCUACUAUUUCAAAUAAGGUUGCAUUUUUAGGAGACGGUGUAUAACAUAUAACUUUCUGUAAUAGCACUCAGGGUUUCAAGCCAUUUAACGUCUGACUGAAAGGAUGAGAAAACGCAUAGGAAACACUCUCAUGAAUUUGUAACCCCUGUCUUAUUAGGGGAAUCUAAUUUUACCUACACAACCACAAAGUGCAGUAUGUUAAAAUGCUCUUGCUUAGUCCUGAUAUAGUGUUGGUAUUCUGGUUCAAUUUUAUAGUCCUCGGAGAUGGUUGAUUAAUCCAGAAUACUGUGCAAAAAAUAUGACAGCACAAUAGUCUUAAAACAAUAGAACAAAUAUUGUCUAAUUUUUUUCUCAUAUUACUUUCCUUUUAGUUGGGAAUGUCUUUAAAAGCUUCUACACUGAGAAUAAAAGUCUGUAUAAAACUGAUGCUGUUUCUCACACCCCAUUAAACUACCCCUUUUAUCUUUGAAACUGAUGUGACAGCAAAAUAUUUAUACUACAUUGACUCCAUUUUUUAAAUUGCUUUUUGAAUAGAAAAACAAAUAUGUUUGAGACUCAAGAAGUGGCCAAAUACAUCUAAUUUAUUUUGCAAGGAUCAUUAAAGCCUUGCAUCUCUGUUGUAUUGUAACUGGCUAGCAUUACAGUGACAAUCUAGAACAUUUUAGAGCAUUUUUAGUAGUUGAAAAAUACUACUUUGUCCAGAUUAAGAAGAAAAAUUUGACUUGCAUCAAGGGCAAAAUCCAUAGGAAAUCUGAAAACAAAAUUUCUUUUCCCUUACUCAUAUGAUUUAAAGGUUAAUUCUAAGCUUGGAAAUCAUGAAUAUGCAGUCAAUAAUAAUCACCUCCUCCAAACAUCUUAGUAUGCACACCUAAUGGCCACUGCCAGGAGCUGUGGAACAUCUUUAAUUUUCAAUUCUUCUUAGCAUGAAUAUCAAUGAAAUAAUAAAUUAUAAAAGGCCAAUAGAAAGCAACUUAAUAGAUUUUAAAGAGUCAAAUGUCAUCAUCAGUCAAAGGAAAACUAAAGGUAUAUUGUUUUAUUCUCAAGAUCAUAAUAUGCAAUGCUUACUUAUGUUAGACUAACUAUAAUAUCAAGUACAAUUUAGUCGAGAAAAUGAAUCAUUUUAAAAUUCUCCUGGGGCCUUAAUUUUGCUUCUAGCCUUAGUAACCCCUCUAGCUUGGAGACCUCCAUCAGAAAGAGAAGAGGCACUACGUAAAGAGUUCUCUAAAGUCCUGGCCAAUAAGGAGAUGGCUUGCUCCACGAUGGAAAUCAAUGCACUGCUCCCUUCACCGAGGAAGUCUUGCCCCUUCCCCACACACAUGAUGUCAGCCGAAUUAAACAGUGUACUUAGUGACAGAGUUGAUUUAUAUUCUGGCUCCAGCUCUUUCUUUAGUAUCAAUCGGUUAAAGGAUAAUUUGCAGACAGCAGCCAGUCUGGGGUCCAUACGUUGAUAGCUUUGCUACUAUGGCUUAUUGACCACAAAUCAGCGGGCUAUAAAACAUCCAAGAAGCAACUAAUGCGCCCUCGGCUGGAGGCACGGAGAAGUUUCAUUAUUACUUUUUGGGUAAAUUGGCAGUGUGUGAAGUCUGAUAGCACCACAAGUCCAAUGGUUGACAGACUUCACUUAUGGGACCUGGUGCAAACCUUGUUUGGGGCUUAGAUCUGCACUCACUGCUGUGGGAAUUUCAUGGAAGCGAAGUGGGGCUUAUCUGGUUGGUCCAUUUAAAGACACCAAGCUAUGUGCUACCUAUGGAGUAUAACAAUUAUGCCAGAAAGUGUCUCGCUAGUAUAUGUGGACAACAUGCUGACAUCUUCUAUGAGAGAAACACUUCAUUUUUAAGUAAACAACAACUAAAUUCUUCUUCUUGUUAUUGGUAGUUUUCAGUCUGGCCCAGUAGGGCAGAAGGUACCUAAGUAUAGGAUAGUUAAUGAACACACAGGCCACAGAAUCAGAUACUGGCAAGUUAUUUUACUUUUCCACUUCACUUGUGUGUGAAUUUUAAUAUAAAUGUAUGAAAAUAAAGAACUAAGGCAAGUCAAAAUGUUUCAGUAAACAAGUUCAAGAAAUUCCAUGUUAUAACAAGCAUAAAUGAACUUAUUAAAUUGUUCUGUACAACGCCAGAUUUUGGAUGUCUUAAAACCAAGAAACUUCUUAUUGGUGGCAACUAAAUGGCUUUUUAGACUUUUUAUCAUGUAGGACAUUCCAUCUAUUAAAUAUACGUUUCUAGUUGAGUUCUCAUACACGUAAGUACAUAUUUGUAAUGUUGGUUCUCUGUGCUAUUCCUGUAAAUAGUCUAUCAAAAUAAAUUAACUCUUCAUAAAAAUUGGGCUCUUUGAAGAUGGAAGAUGGGAGUUUUGUUCCCUGCCUUGUGGAGUCACAGGAUCCCACAUCUCAGGUUCCUCAUUGGUAAAACAAGAGGAGGGGUCUAUUUGCCUCCAAGCCUCUCCACUGACCAAUACUGUGUCUGUCUGGUCUACUGUGCCAGGUACUGGGGAUGGGAAGGUAAGAUUAGGGGGAAAAAACCCCAAAACAUUAUAUUCUGUGAAUCUUUCCCAGUCUCUAACAUAGUAUAACAUCAUAUUUGUUAAUGAAUCUCCGUUAAACUGCACCACGUAUCCUAUGAAAUUAAUUAAAAAUAUUUCCAAAGACUCAUUACUUUUCCACUUUAAUGAAAGUGUCCAGUGAAAGGGAUACCGUUUACAGAGGGCGGAGACGGAGAGGAACGACUUGCUGCUAAAAAAUCCAUUAAAUCGUCACGUUCUUCUUCUGCACAGUCAUUCAACGGAUGUGCUCUGGAAUCUGACAGAUUUGACUCAAAAUCUCUUUUUCUGUUGUCUGCCCUUGGGGGAAGUUCUGCAGCCUCUCAGGGCCUUGGUUUCCUCGUCUAGGAGCAGGGCUUACAGCAUGCCUGAGGCGAGUCCAGGGCGGAAGAAGUGAGACUAUGUUUUGGAAAGCCUUUGGAUUGAAAAUGCACGGCAAGCCCGUGGAAAAUUUCAGGGUUUGUUGACAUCGUAACAGUCAAGGUUCCUUCUCUUUGUCCCAAUUGGAUCUGUCCUUAUUCGCUUUCUUUGGCUUGGUCUCCGCAGCUCUGGUCUCUAUUUCAAUCCACUCCUACACCGACACUAGGGUUAUGAAUAUGAUUAUAUCACACCUCUUCUUAAAACGUCAGUGCUUUUCACAACAUGCUCAAACCUGUCCCCCUAAACUGACUUUCUGAGGCCCCUCCCAGGUCCUCACAGGCCUUACACUCCAGCGGCCCUUGAGUCGGCACCGGGCCGUCUUGUGAACGUCACCCUUCCUGCACCUCCUCAGUUUUGCCUAUUUGCUCCCAUUUUCCUCUUUGCCUGCAUCUUGUCUUUUUCCUUCUCAAAAGAAUCAUCCACUGCAAUGCAGUGAAGUACUUUAGUAUAGUACCUCGUACACUGUCAGAGUUGUUGGAAUUAAUGUGUCUGACGACCUGUUUGAGUUUACAUUUCUGAGGACAGAACAAGUACUACCACGUUCACAGUGAACACGCAGGGCUUGGUAAUUUGGAGAUAUUUUGAAAAUUGUGUGAUGAGAAAGUACAAUAUUAUCUACAUCUCAAAAGCUCUAGAAAAGAAUUCUAAAUUUCACCCCAAAAACAGCUAGUAAUUAUUGAACAAGGUGCAUAGAUGGUGUUGACCUACUAACUGAAUUUCUACCAAACAUUACAGUCUUUCUGUCUGGGAGGAAAGGGAAUUAGGUCUUUGCUGUUCAACGCCUUCCUCGUUCAUUUAGAAGUGUGCAUUCACUUAGAAGUGAGUCCACAGUUAAUAUCUUUUUGAUCACUUCUCCAAAAUGUAUGAGUCUAUGAAAUAAUUUGUCUCACCUCUAUUUCCCCAUUCCUCAGGAAAGCAAGCUGUUUUUCAGUUAGAGGAACUUUUGGAAUCAGUUCUUAUGCUCCUAAUACAUUCCAGAUGUCCUUAUGUUUGUGAUUGACAUUAAGUGAUAUAUAUUUCUUCAAAUUACCCACUGCCAUAAACAAAGUCAAAAAUCCAUCUUGAUAUUGACUGGAGAGUACAUAUUUCCCAAAUAUUCAAAGUGAUAGUGAUGGAGGGAGUGAAGCAAAGGUCCGAAGGAGCAGAGCUUCUCUGUGAAUCGCAGGCCAGGAGAGCCAAGCGGAGAGGCGAGAAGCUGGCCACACCUCGUGUGCAGACCUCUGACCCGGGGCCCCGUAGGCCUGCCGCAGAAACCGGGUGUCUCACCUUCCUGUGACUCACAGGCUUUUCUGAGCAGCUCACCAACUUUCAGUGUUGCCGUGACAACCCCUGUGUUCAUCCUCAGGUGUACACUGGCAUCGCAUCUUGCCAACUGAGGGGACCACGUGAUCCCUCGGGGUAACUACUUAAAUUAUCACCUUUUAAAACGGUGACAAUUACAAAAUUUUCACUUGACUGUGUAUUAAAAGUAUCAGCAGCUCUGGGCAGAAGCAAAGCGAUAAUUUUUGUAAUUAUCUGUCCACAAAGUAACAAGCAAUGCAUUCCAAGUAGGAGCUAUUAAAUUCUUCGUGGUGGGUAACAAAAAAAUAAAAACUCUUCUGUUUUAAUUUCAGAAUUUCACUUUAAAUGUACGUGUGGCUCCUAAUGUAGUUGAAUGAAAGAGUGAGAGGGGCUGUGGGAUGGCUUCUGUGACGGACGUCAUCUUAGGAGAGAAGAAGAAAGAGUUUUCCCAAACUGGAAUCUUGGAAUUCAGGUUAAAAGAUUAGUUGGAAAGGAAGGAAAAACACUGUAGGACGUUUUCUUUUUCAGUUUUAAAUGGUGAUCAUGCUCAUGCUUUAGUUAUCUCCCUCCACUUCUCUGCACAGAAAAGCGAGGGAUACAAACUUGCAGAGAUGAAGUCAUGCUCUCUUACUUUUUCAUGAUACCAGAGAUUCCAAAGACAGAUAUAUCUAAUUUGCAAUGUUCAAAGGAAAAAAACUAGAUAUUGGAGAUGAUUAUAUAUUUUUACAAAAGUGAUCCUUAU